AAAUAAUGCCCAAAACAUGUACAGUUGAAACUCUCGAUUCACCACCAGCAUAAAAAGUCAUCUACCUUCUCUCUAUUCUUCUAUUUUCCGUCUCAAUUUUAUACCUCAAGACAGAGAAUUUAUGUACAAAAGGAUCCUCAUACUUCCAAUUUUUUUAACUCAAUCAACGAUGUGGAACGGAAAUCUCAUAAAGUAAGCAGAGAAAUUAACUUUUGUUUCUUCUUUUUUCGAUUUUUUCAGUUUCAAAUGUAGUUAUUUUUUCGGUGGAUAAUUUGUACUUAAUUUUUGUGGGUAUGGCAUUUGUUUAGGUUAUAUUUGUUUCGGUUUUUCUUAAGAUGUAGAUUGAUAAAGAGCAUAAUUUCCGGUGGGGGUGCAUAUUGAAAGUUAGCAUAAGUUUUCCGUAGAUGUGGAUUCAAGAAUAGUUUCAAUAGCAAAUGGCAGAAAUCAAAACUUCUGGUGGAGUUUUGAUGUUGCAGGAGACAAAGUUUGGUGGCUUCUUGCCAAAAUGUCAUUUGGAAUUAGGAUAUGUGUAAAACCAAAGAGCUUACUUGGCUUUAAUAUAGGAAAAUUAGUUUGAUAAAACAUAUCAAUAGGAAUUCGAUAAUUGUUGUGGACAUAUGUUCAGAAACUCAUGUUCUUUUCAUUUGUGGCAAUUUCUCGUCUUUUGUUCAUUGAAAGUGUUUUUUCGAUUAUUACUUUGUAUUUUUUAUUUGAUUGUUUGAAAUCUUACGAUAUAAUCAGAAUGUAUUGUGAAAUAUUUUUGGAGUAACAUUUCUUCUUUUUGAGAUUUUUUUGAACUUGUAGUGGCACCCGAAACAAUUCGUAUUCCUCCAACAACAUGAGCGUAGAAGAAAGGCGAUCGUUGAUUCUCACAGACCCACAAUUGACCGUCCACACACAACGGGAUCACCUCGAUUGUACACCUCAUUACGAGCGUACAAUAGUUAGACUUAGUAAUGCUGAUGAUCCCAACCGUCGACCACAAGCUCCACGAGCCUCGGCAGUGGGUUUAUCAUUCACUCAAAACCAGUGGGACCGGAUGCUAGCCCUGAGAAUGAUACUAUUUCAGCACUUUCUUUUAUUUCUCUAUAUCAUAUAAAAAUAGGAAGAAGACUAAUAAUUUGGUGUUUAUGUUUCCAAAAAUUUUGUAUCAACGAGCAUUUUAUAUAAGCAUGAUUGUGUUUUGC
RNAcentral lists this long non-coding RNA (1187 nucleotides) under Erythranthe guttata (spotted monkey flower). RNAcentral's name for it is "long non-coding RNA (EGUT_LNC002065)". The record is from RNAcentral. Lineage: Eukaryota; Viridiplantae; Streptophyta; Magnoliopsida; Lamiales; Phrymaceae.